Molecule: ribosomal RNA, 284 nt
Filed under: Ruminococcus callidus
Lineage: Bacteria; Bacillati; Bacillota; Clostridia; Eubacteriales; Oscillospiraceae
Description: partial 16S ribosomal RNA
Rfam family: Bacterial small subunit ribosomal RNA
Source: RNAcentral
UCUUUUCCUUUUGUGCCAGCCGCCGCGGUAAUACGUAGGGAGCGAGCGUUGUCCGGAAUGACUGGGUGUAAAGGGAGCGUAGGCGGGAUGGCAAGUCAGAUGUGAAACCUGAGGGCUCAACCUUCAGACUGCAUUUGAAACUGCUGUUCUUGAGUGAAGUAGAGGUAAGCGGAAUUCCUGGUGUAGCGGUGAAAUGCGUAGAGAUCAGGAGGAACAUCGGUGGCGAAGGCGGCUUACUGGGCUUUUACUGACGCUGAGGCUCGAAAGCGUGGGGAGCAAACAGG